AACGCGAAGAACCUUACCAGCCCUUGACAUGUCCGGUAUGGGCGGGGGAGACCUCGUUCUUCAGUUCGGCUGGCCGGAACACAGGUGCUGCAUGGCUGUCGUCAGCUCGUGUCGUGAGAUGUUGGGUUAAGUCCCGCAACGAGCGCAACCCUCAUCCCUAGUUGCCACCGGGUAAUGCCGAGCACUCUAGUGAAACCGCCCCGGAUAACGGGGAGGAAGGUGGGGAUGACGUCAAGUCCUCAUGGCCUUUAUGUCCAGGGCUACACACGUGCUACAAUGGUCGGUACAAACCGUCGCAAAGCCGCAAGGUGGAGCUAAUCGGAAAAAGCCGGCCUCAGUUCGGAUUGGAGUCUGCAACUCGACUCCAUGAAGCUGGAAUCGCUAGUAAUCGCAGAUCAGAACGCUGCGGUGAAUACGUUCCCGGGCCUUGUACACACCGCAUAC
Molecule: ribosomal RNA, 444 nt
Filed under: uncultured bacterium
Lineage: Bacteria
Description: bacterial SSU rRNA
Rfam family: Bacterial small subunit ribosomal RNA
Source: RNAcentral